Molecule: long non-coding RNA, 1628 nt
Organism: Astatotilapia calliptera (eastern happy)
Lineage: Eukaryota; Metazoa; Chordata; Actinopteri; Cichliformes; Cichlidae
Source: Ensembl
AAACAAGAUCAGGAAAGUCCAACUCUAAAGAAAAACUGCAGUUAAACAUGAAUUCAGUAGAUUUGUUUCAUAAUAAAACAAAUCUACUGAUUUGUUUUAUUAUUUCACCACUUUCAUUUCUCAUGUGAGAAUUGAAAGUGGAUCAGCUGUGCUGCCACAGUGCUGAUCGUGCUACUUCUUUCCACUCUGUUCAUUUCCUCAUUUCCCAAACUUGGACUGUUUUAUUAGACAGAAAUGAUGAACACAUAAAACUUUAAACACAUAAUCAGUAAUGUUUGAACCCUUCUUUGUUUAUUUAACGCUUGUUAUUUUUCCUUUUCAGUAUAACUCACAAUAAUCAUCGUCAGUCAUUCCAGUACAAUCCUUAAUAGCUGCCCAUGGUUUUUGAUGACGAUCAGUCACGUGUGUUGAUAUUGUGACUAUGAUCACAUGUCUGCUGUGUAUUUAAAUGUGGAUGUUUCUGUGUGAGAUCAGCAGCCGUCCAGCAAACCUCAUCCAGCCGACCACGUCUGCACACACGAACCCAUAAUGUCUUUCAUCGCUGAGCUCCAAGUGUCUUUGAACAAAGCCGAGGAGUUUGCGCUCCGUGAACAAGGCUUCAAGAAAAUCUUUGUUAAUCUGAACGAAGGAGCCGGGGGAAACUUCGUCUACCUCUGGUACAAAAAAGGCGAUCAUGCAAUUACCAGGAUUCAGAUUUCCUUCCACGAUGAGAUGUCCACGGGUCUGUCCAGUGCAGGGUUCAAAAAGAUCGACAAAAACCUGAACGAGGGGGCAUGUGGAGGUUCUGUCUACCUGUGGUACUACAAAGGUUCCUUAAAGUACGAUGUUCCCAUCAGGAAACUCGAUGUCUCUGUACAAGCAGGAGAUGAACCCUACAAGUAUAAACUGGGCUGGGAGAGACUGGCCUGUGACCUGAACCGUGGUGCUGGAGGAAACUGGAUCUAUCUGUGGUUGAAGAGAGAGAACCCCACCUACAUCUGUGACAUCAGGGCCACUGCUAAAUUUGAGGAAGAUGAUGACAACUUCAAUGAUGGCUACAUCCGGGUGGAUGAAGACACCAACAGGGGAGCAGGAGGGCCCUACAUCUUCAUCUGGUACCGUCAAACCAAGGACCCCAAGGACGCCAUCAGUGAGCUGGAAAUCUCCUCCAGUGAUGUCAAGCAAAAGAGCCUCCAAGACCAAGGCUAUGAAAUCGUGAACCAGGAUCUGAACGAGGGCACCGAGGGAAAGGAGGUGUUCCUGUGGUACAAGAAAGACAGCGGCAGCGCUCCCAUCAAGGCCGUCACCGUGCUCGCCGACCCAGCAGCUAAGCAGGCGUAUGACAAUGACGGGCUCAAAGUGAACCCAGAAAACCUCAACACAGGCAACCCAGGAGCUGCUCCCGUCUACCUGUGCUAUCAUCAGUGAGAGCGGUCAUGGUAAAAGAAGUGAGCACGCUCACUGAGCAGAAACCCAGAGGUCUGAUGAUGUCUUUUUUCUUUAAUGAUGUUCAAUCACUGUGAUCUCAGAGGUUUGUCUGCACCAGCGAUCAUUGAUCCUCCAACCAAUCUGAUUGAUUAGCUCUGAAUCACUUUAUUCUGUUUAUUGUCUCUCUUUCAAUAAAGUCUGUUUAGCAUCUGAAAUCUCUC